Molecule: ribosomal RNA, 253 nt
Filed under: uncultured bacterium
Lineage: Bacteria
Description: partial 16S ribosomal RNA
Rfam family: Bacterial small subunit ribosomal RNA
Source: RNAcentral
UACGGAGGGUGCGAGCGUUGUCCGGAUUUACUGGGCGUAAAGAGCGCGCAGGCGGUCGUUCAAGUCGAGUGUGAAAGCCCCCGGCUCAACUGGGGAGGGUCACUCGAUACUGAUCGACUCGAAGGCAGGAGAGGGAAGUGGAAUUCCCGGUGUAGUGGUGAAAUGCGUAGAUAUCGGGAGGAACACCAGUGGCGAAGGCGACUUCCUGGCCUGUUCUUGACGCUGAGGCGCGAAAGCUAGGGGAGCAAACGGG